CCGAGCCGCACUGAUGGUGCAGUAAUCAAACAAUGCUCCGGGCAGUCGGAUGUGCGCAUCUCGGCUGAGGAAGAUUCGUCGAGUGAGACGCAGUCACUUUUGACGCUUCGUUAUGAACGCGCUCGCGAAGUGCGCGUGGUCCGCUUAACGCGCGCGCGCGCGCGGGUGUGUGUUUGUGCGUCUCGAUUCGCGUCGCAAUCUCGUCCCCGCGUUCGACAGAAGCAUACGGUAGAAGCGAGCACAACAGGAUAUGGCCGUGGAACCUCGCGUGACCGGGAACGCUAAGCCCCUGGUGCCGCUGUUCACGAAGGCGUCCGAUUGCGUGAACACGAGCUGUUACUGCGAAGAAAACAUAUGGAAGCUUUGCCAAGAUGUAGCGACUAGGCAUCCUUCCGAAUUGCAACAUUGUCAUGUUCUUUUCGUAAGCAAUUCACGACGAAGCGUUCCCCUUUGGCGUCAACGGGCCGGAAAGGACGAGGACAAAUUGGUCGUGUGGGACUAUCAUGCUAUUCUCAUCUAUGCUCCCGAUGAAAGGGCAGUGGUAUACGAUUUAGAAAGUUCCCUGCCGUUCCCUACACAUUUCUGGAAAUAUGCCACCGAAACCUUCAGAUCUGAUGAAGCAUUGCGGCCUGAAUAUCACAGAAGAUUCCGUCUGGUACCUGCCAGCGUAUAUUUGCAACAGUUCGCAUCAAGUCGGCAUCAUAUGAAGCGCAAGGAUGGCACAUGGAUCAAGACACCGCCAGAUUAUCCUCCGAUCUCGACACCAACAUGCAAGGAUAAUCUCGAUUCAUUUAUCAACAUGGAACCAGGAACCGGAUUAGGCGUUGUAAUGAGUUUGAAACAAUUAGUCAACCGGUUUUAUAGGCCAAAUGUUAACACACAGGCGCCGACGCCGCCUCAACCGCAAGCCACAGCGACUUAAAUUGUGAGCUAUAGUGUGUUGUUCGCGUACGCUUUGAUUAACGAUAUUGGGAAUAAAUUAUAUGGCCUAAGGGAAUUGGUUUUGGUGCAUGCACCUUUGUGGGCUAAAAUAUUUGAUCGAAAUUUGAUAAUAAUGUUAGUUAAUUGCUGCUAAUUCUGGCAGAAUUUCAAAUAUAAAAUCGUUACAAUUGUAUCUUUAUUAGAGCGAAAUUCGCUCAGAGAGAUGGAACCGAGAGAAUUUUAGUGAAAUUAUAUUUUAUUGUCGUGUUGCAAUAUUUUUGUUAAAUUUUAUCACAUUGUAUACACAUUUUAGAGUUUAGAUAAAUUUAUCGAAUUUUAUUAAUUAUUUUCUUUCUACUAUUCCGGCACAAAUAUUGCGCAUAAACUUUUGAAUAGCAUGAGACCAGUAAAUAUAUAAAAAAGAAUAUCGAUGCAACUAUUAAUUAUUUAUCAUAAAAAAAUCCCGGUUCCAGAUAUAUAAGUAGAUUUUUAAAAAAUCUCAUAUUUUACUCAUAAUCAAAACCUACGUAUAUCGAUAACAGAAAUACACACUUUUUCCAAUACAAUACGGGAUUGACGUCUUAUUCUUCAAUCGAGUGAUUUGGCUUAUCACGAAUAAAAAGCAAUUCUGCUGAGCAAUUCUACUUUCUUGAUAAGCUUAUGUACCAUAUUAAUGGACUUCAUUAAAACAAUCCAUUUUCUCUCUUCUAUUAAAGUCUCUUUCGCAGAAUUUACCGGAGAGAUAUCCUCCUCCGGCAAUGCAGCACAUUACAUUCGACCACGUUCUAAAUACAAGUCGUAUUUUAUAGAGUUAUCCGACUUGAUAGAGAUCCCUUUGUCUAUCGGCGCGUGUUCGAAGCGCGGGAUGCGAUUAAAGCGCUUAUAAUUACUGUGCGAUCGAUGUAAUAAGGUCAAGAACUUAAUCUUUGCGACGUAAUGUAAUUAUUACGAUUAUUGUAAUUCUUGUGAUACUUUACACUUUCUACUUUGAAUACCUACGCUAUACUUAUCUACUGUUUGUACUAAAAGUCGAUUCUUAAGAGAUAUAUUUGCUUGUUGAGCUUCCCUAUAUUGGCGUAUUGACUUAAAUGAAUAUGCGAUAUCGUCACGCGACCAAUUACUAACAUCGAAGAACCUGUUGAUUCAACGAACGUAUGUUGCUUUAGUGAUGAUAGAAAUAAAUUUUACAACGAAAACAUUUUAAAUUCUUCACUUGUACUGGAAGUAAAAUUAGCAUUCUCUUAAAAUGUAAUAUUAUUUAUCUCUAUUACUAGUAUAAGAUAUAAUAUCAUUUUUCGAUUCUAUAUAUCGAGAUAUAAAAUAUUUUUUUCAAUUUAUUGAUUAUUUGAUAUACUAUCUUUAUAUUAUAUAUUAUUAUAAACAUUUGGAUUAUUAUAAACAUUUAUUCUUGUGGAUUAACGGUUAACUCUCAUUUAUAAUGAAUGAAAUUCACCCUACGAAUUCGAGCAUAGUAUGAAGUACACACAUUUAAAUGUGCUCGCAAUUAUAGAGUGACCUUCAUAUACCAGAAUAGCCAAACGGCUUGGAUUGCAACGGAGUGCAAUAUAAGUGCUUGUUAUCUAUGGUCAUGGUGGUAACCUUGGAACGCAAAGGGUUAAAUCGCGUGUUAUGCACAUUUUAUCAGAUACGGCAGCCUUGAAAGUUCAGCCUUUAUGCGUCGUAAACUUAUUUCCCUCAUGUUUAUGUUAUUUAAUAAUAAUGAUAAUAUGUGUGUGUGUAGUACGCAACUCAUUCUUUACGCGAUACCGCUUUCGAUUUCAACUUAUUAGCUUUAACUAUUUUAUUCGAAUGUAAUAAGGAAGUUUAUCAACAAGCAAUUAGUAUCAAACUAUCGAUUCGUCGCGUUGAUGCCAUAAUUAUUUUCAUGAAUAUGCCAAUUAUUCGUGAAAGAAUUCACCGAUCGGGCCGAUAGUUUUAAGAAUUCGCCCACUUUUUGCCUUCCAAAAUAUCUCACUAGUUCACUCUGUCUUUCUCAUCGACACAUGUUUAUCUCUAGUUUGCAUGUAUCAUGUUACUACCAAUGUAAGUAUUUAUAAGC
RNAcentral lists this unclassified non-coding RNA (2980 nucleotides) under Camponotus floridanus (Florida carpenter ant). RNAcentral's name for it is "protein N-terminal glutamine amidohydrolase, transcript variant X5". The record is from RNAcentral. Lineage: Eukaryota; Metazoa; Arthropoda; Insecta; Hymenoptera; Formicidae.